AGCAGCCGCGGUAAUUCCAGCUCCAAUAGCGUAUAUUAAAGUUGUUGCAGUUAAAAAGCUCGUAGUUGAAUUUCGGGGUUAGUAGAUUGGUCAUGCCUCUGGUAUGCACUGGUCUCACUGAUUCCUCCUUCCUGAUGAGCCGUAAUGCCAUUAAUUUGGUGUUGCGGGGAAUUUGGACUGUUACUUUGAAAAAAUUUAGAGUGUUUAAAGCAGGCUCACGCUUGAAUACAUUAGCAUGGAAUAAUGAAAUAGGACGUUUGAUUCUAUUUUGUUGGUUUCUAGGAUCGACGUAAUGAUUAAUAGGGAUAGUUGGGGGCAUUAGUAUUCAAUUGUCAGAGGUGAAAUUCUUGGAUUUAUUGAAGACUAACUACUGCGAAAGCAUUUGCCAAGGAUGUUUUCAUUAAUCAAGAACGAAAGUUAGGGGAUCGAAGACGAUCAGAUACCGUCGUAGUCUUAACCAUAAACUAUGCCGACUAGGGAUCGGAUGAUGUUAAUUUUUUCAAUGACUCAUUCGGCGCCU
This 520-nucleotide ribosomal RNA is filed under the name uncultured Glomus. RNAcentral describes it as "SSU rRNA". It matches the Rfam family "Eukaryotic small subunit ribosomal RNA", at positions 569 to 1088 of the family's 1831-position model. Lineage: Eukaryota; Fungi; Glomeromycota; Glomeromycetes; Glomerales; Glomeraceae. The record is from RNAcentral.